This 253-nucleotide ribosomal RNA is filed under the name uncultured bacterium. Its description in RNAcentral is "partial 16S ribosomal RNA". It matches the Rfam family "Bacterial small subunit ribosomal RNA", at positions 524 to 776 of the family's 1533-position model. The record is from RNAcentral.
GACGAAGGAUGCAAGCGUUAUCCGGAUUCAUUGGGUUUAAAGGGAGCGUAGGCGGAUAGGUAAGUCAGUGGUGAAAUCCCAUCGCUUAACGAUGGAACUGCCAUUGAUACUGCUUAUCUAGAGUACAGUUGCCGUUGGCGGAAUAUGACAUGUAGUGGUGAAAUACUUAGAUAUGUCAUAGAACACCGAUUGCGAAGGCAGCUAACGAAGCUGUAACUGACGCUGAGGCUCGAAAGUGCGGGGAGCAAACAGG